UACGAAGGGUGCUAGCGUUGCUCGGAAUCACUGGGCGUAAAGCGCACGUAGGCGGUUUGUUAAGUCAGGGGUGAAAUCCUGGAGCUCAACUCCAGAACUGCCUUUGAUACUGGCGAUCUUGAGUCCGGGAGAGGUGAGUGGAACUCCGAGUGUAGAGGUGAAAUUCGUAGAUAUUCGCAAGAACACCAGUGGCGAAGGCGGCUCACUGGCCCGGUACUGACGCUGAGGUGCGAAAGCGUGGGGAGCAAACAGG
This 253-nucleotide ribosomal RNA is filed under the name uncultured bacterium. RNAcentral describes it as "partial 16S ribosomal RNA". It matches the Rfam family "Bacterial small subunit ribosomal RNA", at positions 524 to 776 of the family's 1533-position model. The record is from RNAcentral.